Molecule: ribosomal RNA, 403 nt
Filed under: uncultured bacterium
Lineage: Bacteria
Description: partial 16S ribosomal RNA
Rfam family: Bacterial small subunit ribosomal RNA
Source: RNAcentral
AUUGAACGCUGGCGGCAGGCCUAACACAUGCAAGUCGAGCGAGCGGCGGACGGGUGAGUAAUGUAUGGGGACUGCCCGAUAUAGGGGGAUAACUACUGGAACCGCUGGCUAAUACCCCAUCCUGUCGGAUAUACCAUAUGGGAUUAGCUAGUAGGUAAGGUAAUGGCUCACCUCGGCUACGAUCCCUAGCUGGUCUGAGAGGAUGAUCAGCCACACUGGGACGGAGACACGGCCCAGACUCCGACGGAGGCAGCAGUGGGGAAUAUUGCACAAUGGGCGCAAGCCUGAUGCAGCCAUGCCGCGUGUAUGAAGAAGGCCUUAGGGUUGUAAAGUACUUUCAGUCGGGAGGCGUUACCGACAGAAGAAGCACCGGCUAACUCCGUGCCAGCAGCCGCGGUAAUAC